CCUGGUGCCCCCUGCGCAGGCGCCUUAGGCCGAAGCGCCGGCCGCGCGGAGCUCGCGUGGGCGGGGCAUCCGGGUAGCGCCAGGCCAUGAAAGCCCACGUGUCUAUUAUUCUCCCAGUCCACAACGCUGAACCAUGGCUGGAUGAAUGUCUGAGGUCUGUUUUGCAGCAGGACUUUGAAGGCAUCAUGGAGCUCUCUGUUUUCAACGAUGCCAGUAAGGACAAGUCUGGGGCUAUCAUUGAAAAGUGGAAAGUGAAACUGGAAGAUUCUGGGAUCCAUGUGAUCAUUGGGGGGCACAAUUCUCCUUCUCCCCGAGGUGUUGGAUAUUCUAAGAAUCAAGCCGUUGCGCAGAGUUCAGGGUCUUACCUUUGCUUUUUGGAUUCGGAUGACGUGAUGAUGCCCCAGCGGGUGAGGCUACAACACGAGGCUGCCGUCCAGCACCCAUCGAGCAUCGUCGGUUGCCAAGUGAGGAGAGAUCCCCCUGACUCCACCGAACGAUACACACGUUGGAUCAACCAGCUGACAUCCGAGCAGCUCCUCACCCAGGUUUUCACUGCGAAUGGCCCAACGGUGAUCAUGCCCACCUGGUUCUGCUCUCGUGCGUGGUUUUCCCACGUGGGCCCCUUUGACGAGGGAGGUCGGGGCAUCCCUGAGGACCUGCUGUUCUUCUAUGAGCACCUCAGGAAGGGCGGCAGCGUCAUCCGCGUGGACCAGAGUCUCCUGCUCUACCGCUACCACCCGCAGGCGGCCACACACUCCGUCCUCGAGGCGACCAUCUGGACCCACCGUGUCCGCUUCCUGGAAGAGCGGGCCCUACCCCGCUGGGCAGCCUUCACCAUCUGGAACGCCGGCAAGCAGGGGCGCCGGCUAUACCGCAGCCUGACCGCCGCCAACCGGCGCAAGGUGGUGGCAUUCUGUGACGUGGACAAGAACAAGAUCAGGAAAGGCUUCUACUGCCACGAGGACUCCCAGGAAAGGCCCAAGCCCCACAUCCCCAUCCUGCAUUUCCGAGCCGCCCGGCCACCCUUCAUCAUCUGCGUGAAGCUGGACCUCACAGGGGGAGCCUUUGAGGACAACCUGAGGUCGCUGCACUUGCAGGAGGGCCAGGACUUCCUUCAUUUCAGCUGACAGACCCACGGCAGCUACUCCCAGGCAGGAACAGUGACACCCCACGUCACUAGAGUGCAGGCGCAGAAAAGGAAAAGCCAUCUCCUGGUGACAGCCUCCAAGGGCCAGCGCUACCCUUCCACAGCUGCAGAUUGAGGCACCACUGGGCCAGGCUCCCCGCACCAGGAUCCCCCAGGAAUGAGACAUCCCCACCAGGCAGGGUGAGUGCGGGCUCCAGGACUGGCUUCAGCAGGCACCAGGCUGCAGAAGAGACAAGAUGGGGUCAAGCCAGUCAGUUCCAUCACCCACCACUCCCAGCCAGGGGACCCUUGCCCCUCUGGACCCCACGCGGGGACUGAUGCUGACACUGGGUUCCUGCCAGAAACUGCGUCUGUGCCAUUCCCCGCACACCUGGGAGUCCCAGCUGUGUGGCUGGCAGGUGCUCUGGACUAACACGCUGCAGGAGGGCACCCCAUCUGGGAUGCAGUCUCUGAGGAGCGAGCAGAAGGGAGGUUUGCUGCACUGCUCCUAACUUGCAUUCACACGUUUGACAUCUGUUCUAAUACAAAUGUAAAAAGCACAUUUAAUUCCAAAGUCUGCUGCUGAGUUUGGCCUUUACACACAGAAACAGGGGAGGCUGUGUCCGAUGCUCAUCCCGUCCCCAAGGCCCCUGCAUAUCUGGACAUGAUUCUUCUCCUCCCUCUCAGACAUGGCCUCCUGCUGUAUCAAAGGAGGCUGAGAGGAAGGAGGAGCCAGCCCUGGAACUAGAGAGACAGAAGGCAACCCCAGGCCCCAGCACCCAUGAGAACUGCACUCAUUUCUGUUACUUUGUUAGAAGAGUGGCGGGCUGGCGAGGAGCACGGGGGCUCCUGAGGGUCUCUGCACCCAGCCCUGGCCCGAAGCACGGGAGGCAGGUGAGGGGGAACUCCUGGCACUUGGAGCACAAACAGACCCCAGUGCCAGUCAUAAGGGGCCUGGAUCAAGCUGAUGCCAGUCCCAUCGAGUCCCUGGCCCACCAAACACACCCCAAGCAAGUGGCCUGGGUGCCAUGAGGCCCAAGGCGUGGGCAGUGGCCAGAGAAGGCAGCUCCACCAGCCCCAUACUCCCAGGGGUCCUAACAUGAGAAGAGGGGAGGGGCCGCUGUCGGAAACUGAGCACAGCCGCUGGCCCCAGAACGUUCCGGAGCUCAGGGAAGCACAGUCACCUCAUGCUGUGGAGGUGAAGGGUUACCUUGGGCACCAGCUGGGGCCUGGGCACGCCCAGGAGGUCACACAGGCGGUUGCGUGGCUCUCUCACAACUGCGAGCUCUUCAUGCCUGUGAGGAGAGGAAGCCUGUGAGAACAGGGAGCUGAGGGGAGGAAGGGCCGCCUUGCCCAGCCCUGCUGGAGAAGGCCUUGCCCAGCUCGGGAUACCUGACUUUACACGCCUGGCUUGUGUGAGGCCAGUGCCCACCUUAGACCCUCAGGUGUGCAGAGCCGCGCAUCAGCUUAUGUAGGGGAAAGCAGGGAAAGGACACCCACCCCAGAAUCUGCAACCAAACCAGCCCUCAGGCACGAGGAGCAGUGGUCAGGUGAGCACAUUCUCCAGCCAGCCUUGGGCCUGACCCCUUUCACAAGGAAGGGCCGCCCUCCCAGCCCCGUGGAGAAGGCUCACCCAGCUCCAGAUACCUGGCUGCAGAGCGUUCACCUCUUCGCUGUCCCAAAGCCAAUUAUUUUAGAAUCUGAUCCAGCCUUGUUUUUUAAAAACCUGUUUCCUGCGCAGUAGUUAAGACAGCCGACCUCUCAAUGGGGGUUGAGAAGGCAGCCUAGCUGCUCCCAGCUCUUCUCCUGGGACCGUAUGUUUCUGUUGAGGAGCAGAGACACUCACUCCUCCCCAAACCAGAGAACCUCGCAGAAGCCCUGAAGCCAAGAGGUACCUUCUGUCCUCCGAGACCACAGCAGCUGCACAGUAAGUGAGCUCCACGGGAACCCAGCCCUGUCAGAAGGACCCUGAUCCAAGGAGACACCUAGGGAGCGUCACCUACAUCCUCGCUGGCUUAGACGGGGCACAGACCCCACAGACGUGCACCAACGCCUGGUGUCAGCAUGGAGGCUCUCAGUUGGUGCUCCACACAGAGUAGCAUCCACAGGCAGGACACCUGGGACUCCACCAGGCUGGCUGCACCAAGUGAACACCCACAUAGCCUCUGGGUGCUUCAGUCCUGACCUCCAACUCAUGGUGACGAGAAGUGUGCGAGUCAGCAUGUGUGUCAGCGUGUGUGCGUGUGACCAUGUUUGUGAGCAAGUGAGCGUGAACCAGCAUGUGAGAUGCGUGUGCAAGUGAGCAUGUUUAUGAGCCAGUGUGAGUGUGUGAGCAUUCCAGCCAGCGUGUGAGUCUGUGAGCCAGUGUGAGCAUGAGUGUGGGUGGGAGCUCGGCUGCCCAUGUGUGUAUGACACAAUCAUUGCAGUUCCCAGGACCACACUGGUUGGCCCAGAGCACCCCCUGAGCCUGCACUUUCCCUGCUCCACUUUCUCAUUCAGACCCUCCCACCCCCGACUCAACACAUGCAUCUUUCAAACCUGCCACUCUAAUCCACCCGCAGUAAAGAAACCAGCCCCUGCUGCAGAAACUGCGCCUGUCCAAGUAAACAUGGAGAGUGGCACUGUGGCCUCCUGAGGGCCUCGUGGCCCUGGGAAGGAGGUGGAUAUUAGAGCAGAGAGGCAUGGGGAGAGGUUCUCCUCCUUCUGCCCAUGCCUCUGAAUUUCCACCAGGUGCUCAUGCAGCCUAUUCCAACACAGCUGGAGAGGGGCCUCCCUGGGGGGUGUCCGGUGCACAGGCCACCAGACAGCCUUGGAGGGGGAAAGGGGACUUAUGCCCCUGGCGGGAUGGAUGCUCUGCUGCUUCUGACACUGGACAGUGUUGAGGGACAGGGCGGUUAAGAGGCUUCAGCUUCAGCACCACUGCUGCCUCAUAAAACUCAAGCGGAGGCUGUUGAGGCUUCGGAAUCCUCCUUCCUCUUCCUUUCAGAGGGUUUGAGAGAGACAGGUGGACAUGGAGGGGACAGGAAGGGGGCGGUGCCAGGCCCAGGUGGCCGUGCAGGAAGGGGCUUCACUCACCAUGCGGUGUUGCUGAGCACUGCCACCACCUCCUCCAACACGUCUGCAGACACGACAUCACUGUAGGUGAGCACCAUCUCAUACACCUGGCUGGCCGUGGUCUUCCGGAUCUGGGACAGUGAUGCAGUGUGUUUGCAGGAGGAAACACCAUUGCCCCACCCCACAGAGACGACAGGAGCCAGGCCAGGGAGCCCUGUCAGUGGAAGGUGUCAGGAAGAGGGCACUGACCCCGCAUCCCUUCCCAGCCACAGCAGAGCUGCAACCAAGAGGAGGCGCUUUCCAUGCCAUGAACCACCUCCUCCCUCCGCAGACACACAGUGAGACUCCAGCAGUGCAGGUCACGUCCUUCUUGUUUAAAUGAUCCAUUCACAAACCUGCUCCCUUACGGAGAAGCAAUCUCACCUGUCGUCAUGUCUCAGUGAGCUGGUGGUCAGAGCCCCUGGCCCACCCUUGGAGGUCCUGAGUCAGCAGGACAGGGCCCAGGAACCGGCACUGCUGAAGCCCCAGAGGUGCUGAGGGUCCAGCCACCCCACUUCUAGAACCACCAUAUAAUGUGAAAUUACUUUCGCGUUUUUGGAAAAUGUCACCUUUGGAUCAACAGGUUUUUUUACAGCCUGAAGAAAAGAAACCCUAGAAAUGUUAACAGCAAGGGAGAGCUGGGGGUGAAGGGUGCUGCCCCCAGGUGUGGCUGAACCACUUCAGCCUGGGUCCUCUGGGAGCUCCUGAGCCAGAUCCCAUUGCCCAUGGAAAUGCCAGCCAGACAUGUCGUCCUUUAAGCCAGAAGAGUGACGUCGGGAGCCCCUUGACAGCUGUGUGCCUGUGACACGUCACCCUGGGCAUGCUAACAAGGGGCCUGGCACAAAGGCACACUCACGGGGCAGUGCCUUCCAAGCCCUUUUAGUCACCAGGGGCCCGAGUCCACACGGCAAGCACAUGUGAACAGGGCAGGCACUCACCGAUGGGAAGCGGUGGCCGAGGAGCAGACACAGCUGCAGGAGGGCGCUCUUCCUCACGCUGCCAGGAAACUGCACCAUCCCGCAGAAUCUGCCCAGAGCCGCACACAGGCACCGCGUGAGCCCCGUCCCACACAGCCCAACCCCGGGAAACCCAGGACCCAAGGCCCAGGUGAAGGCCCAGGGGGAGCAGAUCUGUGAGUACAAUGCAGGCCUGGAGCCAGCCCCGAGCCACAGGUGUGUAUGUGAGUUCAUGUCACACAUGCGGGAAAGCCAACAGUGGGAAGUGAGGAUGCCUCAGAGAAGCUCCUGCAGGGCUCCCGCCCUGCCAUGAGAACCCCCACCUCAGGGGGGCCACAGAGCAGCCAAGGUGUCUGUGGCUGCCCAGGGCCCACCUGAGCACUGCAGAGCAAGGCGCUCAACAGCAGCCCCCGGGGCACAUGGGAGAACUGGGUAACCACUGACAAUGCCCGUUUCCAGGUCUCUGCUCCCCCCAGGGCAGAGCACGAAGCGGGGCGGAGUGGGGGGGGCCGGCUUGCCUGUUCCCUGGGGACUCCCUCCACCAGCACCUGGGAUGCCUUGCCUCCCGCUUCGUCCCACUGGACACUGGAACGCACAACCUAAGCUUGAGGGUGAACACUAACUGCUCCUCUCCCACCUGGAGCCACUGACUCCUGCCUCACCUGAGGCAGGCUGCCCCCUGCAGUUCACUCUAGGGCCAGCAGCACUUGAAACUCACACUGAGAUGCCUGAUAGCAGUUUAUGGACGUCUUUUGAAUUCUUGAUUUCUUUCUUACAAAGUGCAAGCAACUUCACAGCGAAGGGGUGGCUGGAAGAAGAACACUUUCUUUAGAGAUGAGCGUUCACAGGCAGCCCCUCGACGUACACUUUUUCUAUAAGGAAGGUCAAGUCCGUCCUCCCGGUAGCUCAGUCCCAGAAGCCUGCAGCCCCUCUGCCAGCAAGUCCACUGGUCCCAUCCCGGUGCUCCACAGGCCGGUGGGGUCCCCAGCUGCCGUGCCACCACCUAGCGGGCCUCUGCUUCACUGCGGUACAGCAGCCCCCAUGGGGCCCCACCUCCCUCCCAGGGCCCCAGGCUCCAUGCCGACACAGCCGCAGCCGGGAUGCCUGUGCUCCUCCACCGCUCUCUCCAGAGGCGGCCUGGCCUGAACUGCUGCAGAACUGGGAGAAUUUGCUGACUCACAGAAGACACACAGGCUGUACAGUGUUGUUCUGAGCCUUCACUGGCCACAGGGACAAGAGCUGAAGCUGGGUGCCAACAAAACCACGGCCCUGAGGAGCAGCUCUGAGAGGGCCACUCCAGGGAGAAGAGGGACGACACCCACCUGCCUCUCUUGGUGGGGAACACAGCCAAGCUCCAGGAGCCCGACAGGCUGGAAAACCCUCACUGCUGACCAUAAGUCAAAGAGACCCCAGGCUGCUGCUACCCUCCCUUGGGUGUCCAGUAAAGGCAGACUAAACUAAGGUCCUGCCUGCUAAGGUGCAGGCUUGGCCCACGCCUCAGCUUGCUCUGAGGUGGGACCCCUAAAACACAAUGUCGAGAGACUAUGCAACAGCAGACAGGCAGCUCAGACACGCCCAGCGAAACAGACAGGAAGAGGGAGUUGAAGGGAGUGAGCACCGAGCACGGGAGGAUGGGCCACAGGGAACAGCAAGGCGGAAAGCCAAGGCACACAUGGAAACACUGAGGCCAAAACCUGCACCUGAAAAGACGCAAACUCCAAACAAGAACUCCACAAGUCAGAAGUCCUUCAGAGACAGAGAAUCAGCAGCUGACAGACGGGCCAAGUGAACAGGAAACUACAUCGAAGACAAGAUAUCCGACAACAGCAGCACAAAACUCAAAAUGGAAGCGAGCGGAACCAGCGCCUUCCGAUAUCCGUGCCGUUGUCCGAUACGGACAAAUACUGAAGACGACUUCACGAAGUCAAGAAUGUGUGGUGUCACUUCUCACUUCUAGGGUAAGCAUUAUAGAAUGGAAAAAACGUAAAAUGUCCCAAACAAUAUGUGAAAAUAAUGGGAUGAAAAAAGGAUUCUAGUAUUCCAACAGAAAGCUCAGGGGGCAGGGAGGGCACUGGAAAACCUGUGAGUGGCGGACUGGGACCUGAGGGGGCCGUAGGUCAUCAGGGAUGCAGGCAGAAGCUAUAGCCUGCAUUUUCGCAAAACCAUACACUGUUCCAGAAAAGAUGCACAAAACCAUAAAUACAUAAAGAUACUGAAAGUAAAAAAGUAGAAUUCAAAGUCGAGUGAUUCAGACAGCACCCUAGAAAUGAGGUGGGUCACAGGGCAAGAUUCAGCCCCAAAAACACGCUUCAAAAUCUGCACAGCAAAAACUGGCAAAACUGUUGCAAUAAGUAAAAAGAGCUGUAUUCACAGCAGGACCUGGCAGGCGGUGUUUCUUUUUGAAACAGGAUCUGUUUCUGUUGCACAGGCUGGAGUAGAGUGUGGCUCAAUCUCGGCUCACUGCAACCUCUGCCUCCCAGGCUCAAGCCAUCCUCCCACCUCAACCUCCCAAGUAGCUGGGACUACAGGCACCACCAUACCCAGCCAAUGUUUUUGUAUUUUUUGUACAGCACCAUUGCACUCCAGCCUGGGCAACAAGACGGAAACUCCUCAAAAAAAAAAAAAAAACAUAAA
Molecule: non-coding RNA, 7809 nt
Organism: Callithrix jacchus (white-tufted-ear marmoset)
Lineage: Eukaryota; Metazoa; Chordata; Mammalia; Primates; Cebidae
Source: RefSeq, a predicted model, not a curated record